This 4818-nucleotide long non-coding RNA is filed under the name Lactuca sativa (garden lettuce). RNAcentral describes it as "long non-coding RNA (LSAT_LNC006823)". Lineage: Eukaryota; Viridiplantae; Streptophyta; Magnoliopsida; Asterales; Asteraceae. The record is from RNAcentral.
GAAUAUUUAAAUUGGAAAAAAAAGCUGUGAGCCACUUUUGAACUUUUCAGACAUUUAUUACUUUUUCAGAAUUCACAUCUUCAAAACCUUAUUCAUCUAAAAAUUACCAGUGAGAUAAAGAGAAAAAAAGGAGAGACAACGUACUAGUGGAGAGGAAAGUGAGCAGCGCAUCGGAGGUAGCUUCUUCGAGGAGAUGAUAGGUUCGGCAGGCAAACGGAGGAGAGCAGAUAGAGAGAGCGUACGAAGGUAAGCAGCAAGGAAUGAGAGCAGAAAUAAAGCGAACGAAGGUCUUGUUCGGCAGACGACGGAGGUUAGCACUACUCCAACUGUCAUAUUUUCUAGUGAGACUCGAGAUUUCAUUCUCCGGUGGAGGCUGUGGUUUUUAGGGUUUUUUCAUUUUUUUCAAAGUUUUGAUGAAAUAAGUUGUAAAUUAUAAUAGUUAUUUGGUUAUUGUAGAGUUUUACCUUUCAAAUUAAUUGGCAUUUUGGUAAGAUAGGAUUGGUUUUGAUUUUUCAGUGAUUUUCGGAUUUGAUGUUAAUUUUUGUUAAGCUUCCAAAUUUAUUAGUCUAUAACUUAUUAAGAUUUGUCCGGAUUCUUUAAAUCAGUUAGAUGUAUAAACAAUUAAGCAUAAAAUUUGAGGGGCCAUAAAAUCGGCUCUUAUUUUUUUGUAACGAGAAUAAGAGAUACAUACUUAUACAUACAUGUAUUAAUAAAUCAAAAAAGCUAGGGGGCCAUGGCCCCCCUGGCCCUAUAGAGGAUCCGCUACUGACCCCACCGUUUUCCCUAUUUAAAUAAUAAUUUUUUUAGGUAAAACAGGGACCAAGCGUGCAACAAAAACAAACAGUAGGGAUCAAGCGCGUAACAAAAACAAACACCAGGGACCUNUAUAUAUAUAUAUUUGACCCGAGUCCAAAUAAAUCCUAUAUAACCGUUGCAAUUGGAAAGAUCACAACUAAAAAAACGGUCUUAUUGACGUCUGGACCAAUGGAAUAACCAUUUUGUGAGAAUAAAGUUUGUAUAAAUAAGUUUUGGUUCAAUUGGUGUCACCACAUCAUACAAAAAUACACUUACUAUUGUCAACAAUUUUUGACGUCCUUACAGUCUUUCGUUUCUGCUUCCGUCGAUAUUGUUGUUUGCUGAUGUAACCUCUAAAAUUUAUACAAAUGCUGAUAUGGUUGAAGUUUAACCUGACUUUCCAAAACAUAGAUAUUUGAUAUAGUUUCACUUAUUCCAUUAGCUAAAAAAAACGAAGGUUUUACUAGCUAGAUGUAUUGGGCUAACUACAUCGGCCAAGACCACACUUUUGGUUGGGCUACUUGGUCUGACUAGAAGCAAAUGUAUUUCAUAUGGUUUUGUUCGAUGUGAAUUGUUCUUUUUUGAUAACCUUAUUCUUUUUCCUAACAUUGGUUCAAACAUUAUAAAUAAAAGUAAAAGAAUACCAGGUCGAGCGGGUUGGAUAAUUUCAGUCAUUUUAAUAUGUCGAUAUAUAUUUAUUAUUAUUAUUUUAAAAAUCUAUUAAUUAUUUAUGUAUAAAUAUGGCUAAAAACUAUGUUCUUGAAUUAUUGAUUUGGGCGCCUAAAACCCUGAUGUAUCAUUUGUAAUUUUUUUUAAAUAUAAUAAAUAUUUUAUCAUUUGUAAAUUAGAUUAAGUUAGAUUAGGUUAUUAUGUUAUUGCAUUUUGCUAGAGGUGGCAAUCGUGUCGUGUCGAAACACUGAACGGGUUGAAAGUGCUUGACCAUAACCCGAUCCGUUUAAUUAACGUGUCGUGUCGUGUCAACCUGUCUAUUUUCAUGCCGGGUUUCGUGUUAGAGGUUUACUUUGAAAUAUGUCAUUUCAUGUAAGGUUAUAAGAUUGAACAUGUUGAAAGAGUAGGAGUUAGGUAGGCGGAAAUGAAAAUAGUUUGGAGGUAGAGUAGAUGAAGUCGUAUCAAGUCCAGAUAAUAGAAUUGAAAGAGUAUGAGUUGGGGUGGUGGAAGACAAGAUCAUGAGGAUGAGAGAGUGAUUAAAGAGACUAUGUAGUUUAGGAGAGAACAGAAAAUUUGAAAAUGAAGUCUUGAUCUAGACAUCUAAGUCAUUUUGUAUAUUUUCAGUUUAUUUAAAGAAUUCAAAAAACUUGCAUAUAAAUAAAAGAGUCAUUUUCGUGUCAUAUUUGAGUUGAAAUUCUCCUAACUUUACCCGUUUAAUUUUCGUGUCGUGUUGUGUCAACCCGUUUAUUUAAACGAGUUGAAAUAUCUUACCCAAACUCAUUUAUUUUGUGUCAAGUUCGUGUAGGGUUUCGUGUCAUGUCAGUUUUUGCCACCACGUUUUUCUCAUCUCAUCAGGUAAUUUAGAUUAAGACAUUAUCUUUUACUCAUCUCAUUAGGUAAUAAUACAUAAAGUAUAUCGAAAAUAUGGAUAUAAUAAAGGGAAAUCUCCAAUAAAAUUCUAAAAUUUUGGCUGAGUUUACGUUUUAGUCAUAAAUUAAUUUUCGUUGACGAAAAAGUCCUAACAACCGGCAAAAGUUUGCAUUUUGACCAUUUUUGACCACUCGGAACCGGUAACAAAUUAAUUUGGGACUAUUUCGUAAACUGACCUAAAAUAUUGGGACUUUUCUACAAAAAAAAAACAUUAGGACUCAUCUGCAAAUCAAUAUAAGUAUUUUUUUUAAAUGUAAAUAAGUAUUAUUAUUAUUAUUAUUAUUAUUAUUAUUUUGUUAAAAAUAUAAAUAAGUAUACCAUAUUUUAAAUUCGUUAUUAUUAAUAUGGUUAAUAAUAUUUAUAAAUACAUUUAAAUGAAAAAAAUAUUAAAGACAUUUUUUAAGGGUGAAGGUGGAACGGAUGAUAAUGCUUUAAGCAUUGAAAUCAUGAAUGUCUGUUUGUAUAUGAUCAUUUCAUAUUUGUUGUUAUUGUUUUCAAUUCAAAAUAUUAACAGUUCACAAUUUAAAAGAAGUUCUUGAUUUUUCAAAUUGUUUAUAAAUAGUGAGCGUGUGCUAUGGAUGUAUGUCUAGUAUGUAAGUAUUUGAAUUACCAACAUGUGUGUUUCUCUUUUUCAUUAUUUUAUUCAUGUGUUUUUUUUUUUUUUGAAAACAUAAAAGAUAUAGUGUGAAAUAAAAACAUGUCAUAUUAUUUUUUACUUAAAAAGAUAUUGUACUUUUGAACUAUGAUAUGGACUACCUAUAUAGAUGUUUAUAGUAGAUCUUUUGGAUUUGAAAAGAAAUCCUUCUAGCUUAAACAAUUUUAUAUACAAAGUGAGAAAUUUUUCUAUCUUAGACUAUUUAUAAACAUUUUUACAAAUAGACAACUUCUUUUUAAAUUGUUAAGUGUUAAUAUUCUGAAUUGAAAACAAUAAUAACAAAUGUGAAAUAAUCAUAUACAAAGUGAGAAUAUACAAGCAGACAUUCAUGAUUUAAAUUCUUAAAGCAUCACCAUCACCUCCACCUUCACCUUUAAAAAAUUCCUUUAAAUUUUUUUUUUUAUUUAAACGUAUUUAUAUAUAUUAUUAAAAAUAUUAAUAAUAAUAAUAAUAAUAAUAAUAAUAAGAUUUUUGUUUGUAGAAAAGUUCUAAUAUUUUUGUUUAAAGAAAAGUCCCAACAUUUUGAACCAAUUUACGAAAUAGUCAUAAAUUAAUUUAUUAUCGGUUCCAACCGGUCAAAAAGGAUUAAACUGCAGACUUUUGCCGGUUUUUUUGGAUUUUUUCGUUAACAAAAAUUAUUUUAGGACUAAAACAUAAACUGAACUAAAAUUUUAGGAUUUUAUAGAAAUUUCCCUAUAAUAAAUAUCACCUAGUAACAAAUUGCUUCCAAAAUUCCCUUAAUCUAAUUUGGGCGUCAAAGUGUAGUCAUGUAGGGGGAACAUGAUAUUAUAUACCAAUUUAUUUUUCCGCAUACCCGUGAAAUGAACCGAUUAUAGUUGGUAUAACAGUAUCCAUACUAAGUAUAAUUAGUAUUAACUUUUUUGGCUACAAACAAAAUUGAUUGGUACAAAUUGGUAAUAAUACGUACCAAUUGGUAAUAAUACGUACCAACUUCUUUCUAAUUUUAAGUUUUAAUAGUUAAAGACCAACAAGGAUAUAUGCCAAUUUUGUUGUGUAUUAAGAAAUUAGUAAAAUAAUUAUUUUAGUUUACUAAAGAAUUCUAUCAAAGUAACUUUUAACUUUUUAUUUUAUUUAAUGUCUAAUAACUAUUGACUACGAUUAAAUGACUAAUAUCGUGCUCCUAAAUUGUAAGCACUAAAGACACUUGACAAUUGUGUGUUUGUGUGUGUGUGUGUAUAUAUAUAUAUAUAUAUACACACACACACACAUAUAUAUAUAUAUAUAUAUAUGUAUAUAUAUAUAUAUCAAAUGAAUUGGUUAGUACAGUAAUAGUGUUGUAUUUAAAAAAAUUUAUCAUUACCGUACCAUGAUUACUUGAUUGAAACGGAACUACCAACCAAACAUGUUCGCUACCAAACGUAUUGAUAGCCAAAUUUUUUGGUUCGGUUGGUAAAAUGUUUGUUCAUUUAUUGUGUUACAUAUUUUGACAACUCUAUAAUCAUGGGACCCCAUUUGGACUACAUCUGACUAUAAUCUGACUAUAGCAUCUCUUUUACAGUCAACAAGUUUUGGAUCCGUCAUCUCUUCUCAAGGAAGCUCUAAGCUUAUCAUCCUCUCAUCCUUAACUCUCUUCCACCAAGAAUUUGUUGCAUCUUUGGUGUCAUUAGUUAUGAUAAUCAAAAAAUGGGUGGCAAAAAUCCAAGUCUUAUCCACCCAGUGGGGGUGUUCGAGGCUACACCAACAACCAACUUCCAAGGAUUGAUACCCAUAAUACCUUUGAUACAUAUGUUUCCAAACAUAGAAACAAA